GAGAGUUGGUGAAUGAAAAUAUAUCCUUGAAUUUAUAAGCGAGACAGUGAACCAGAGGAAGAAGAAAACGAGAGUUGGUGAAUGAAAAUAUAUUCUUGAAUUUAUAAGGGAAACAAUGAUAGGGCUACUCUCUAUUGGCAUGCAUUUGUAUGUUUCAGCUGACACGCCAAAGGAGAGCUGCCCUGUUACUGUCUCUCCUUAAUCAACAUGUCCUUCGGGCACUAUUAAUAUAUACAGUGUGAUGUCUUCAAGGUAUUUUUCUACUUUUCGCAGUGAGUCGUUCUGUUCUCAUGUUAUUCUAAAUAUUAAGUCUUGUUUACUUAAUUGUGAACUCACCAAUUGAUAAUUUGAAUGCGAGUGUGAGAUGUAUUCAAUUGUACAUUUUAAUUUAAAGAGCAGUUAUAGAGAUAUGAAUGAUAUAACAUUCUAGUUUUUGUAUUUAAUUCUCAAAUUAUUUUUGUUAACUGAAGAUUUAUACAUAGUUCUGAAUCUUCUGAUGAAUUAGAAUUCAACUCGAAUGUAAAUCUCAAACAAGCUGCUUGGAUGGUUCAAAAGAUUUCCAAAGCUAGGAAAUUAACACAUUGGAAAUUCAGGUUACAGGAUAAUUGAGGUUCAGCAGAUUACACAAUUUUCUAUUAGGAAAAUGUAUCUAAAGGUAAUUGAAAAUUUUCCGAACUUUGAAAUAUACAGUUCAAACUCAGGGAAUUAUUUUGGAGUUUGAAUUAGUUAAGUAUAUAAUUGAAAUAAUCAUGACAUUGGGCAGCUCAACAUUGAUUCGGAAAAGGCCAACUGGUUCAGCUGCAACUCAAAGACCAUUUUACAGUUGUAACAUUAGACUUGUAGUUUUAUUCUUAGCCAUUUUAUGUGUAACUACAAAUGCUUGAUUCAUUUACGAAAUAAAGUUUGAUACAUCAAUCAUCCUCAAUUCCACGAAUAUUUUGUUUAUAUAAUCUUCUUUUUCUCUCUCGUUAAGCCGGGGCAUUUCCACCCGGGAAAUUUCCAUCUAAUUUUUGCAAGUCUAAUUCUAACAUGGUAUCAUAGCAGGCAAAUGAACUAUACUUGUUUCUCUCAUUAGAGCAUCAUAUCCUCGAAACUAGAUUGACGAGAGGGAGUUGCUCGGAUGGUAAGCACCCCUCACUUCCAACCCGAAGGUUGCGAGUUUGCGUCACCAAGGGAGCAAAAGGGGUGGCAGCUCCUAGGGAGGGUUAAAAAAAAAAAGCUAGAUUUUGUAUUUUGAUUGAUUUUUAAAAAAAAACAAUAUAUGGAUAGGGUUCAAUUUCUGAUUCCGCAGGGGUUUGCUCUAUUCUAUUUCUGAUUCAAAGGUUUCACAAUGGAUUUACGGCGAUACUUAAGGCGUUCAUGAUGAUGUAUUAUUUUGGGCAUGGUGACUGAUCUUAGCAUUUAUUCGAAGUUGAAGAUUCCCCUAUUACCCAUACUGGAAAAGGUUCAAUGAUAUGAUGAUUGCUUGGAUGACUAUGAACAUUUCUAAUUUUCUACUAGUGUUUUAGGGUAUAUGACACUAAUAGGGAAACUUUGUUGGACAUUAAUGAGAGAUUUUGGAUCAAAUAGGUCUAAGUUCAUUCAAUUUCAAAUGACAUUAGUUUCAUUUCCAAGAGAACUUCAAAAAUUGUCUCAUAUUUCAUUAGACUGUGAAGCAUUUGGGAUGAGAUGAACAUUCAUUAUUUAUUGGUCAUAUGCUCUUGUGGCCCCUUUCCCAAGUUUCUAGGAGAACUGAAGUAGUUUUGGUUCCUAACUUGGUUGAAUAAUUUCUACUCCACAUUUAUGAGCAAUAUACUUAUGAUAUCUCCCCUUGCUCUGUGUUAAAACAUGCCAAGAAAUAGAGAGAGAACUCACACUUUCUUCCUCGUCUGCUCCUUCUGGUGCCGAAGAAGUUUUACUCAAAGAGUCUAAUUUAAGGCAACGAAGCAUGUCCUUUUGUCUCUUGCAAAUAUUGCAAGAAGUCAGGACACACUCUUAAUAAGUUCAUCCAAGAGCAAAAUAUCAGUCUUUUGUGUCCAUAUUGAUAAUUUUACUCCAAUACUCUUAGCUUCCACAUCCCAAUUUGGUGAUCAUUCAGCACAUGAAUUUACUCAGAAGCAAUAAGAAUAUCUCAUGCCUCUUCCUUCCAAAUAAUCAAAUCUCUCCUAGGUUCAAUAAUGAUGUUUCUUUUGGAGAGAUUUAAGACUAUGCUCACUUUGCAGGUUUAAUUAGUAUAUUUUUUGUAGUUAAUUUUGUGUUUUUUCAUGCAUAUUCAUCAUUGCAAUUAGGGGUAGAUACUUGAAUCUUUUACUCAGGGGCCGCUAGUCACAUGACUCCAUUUAUGGUGUUUAUAAGCUAUAUCAGUGUAUAUCACAUUGUAUUUCCAUAAAUCUCAUGUAUACCAUAUAUAUAUCUGUAAAUAUAAUCCACGAUAAUCUGUGAUUAUGUGAAACACCCCACUAAUUUGUGUCAAGACUGACAAUGCUCUGUCAAUCAGUGUUGCAAAAAUCAAAAUAAAAAAUAAAAAAUCAAGGAUUAGUGCAACACCAUCCAGGAACCUUUACUAGAAAAUUAGUACGUACUUCUUUUACAGUUUGGAUCUAUCAUGGAGUAAAAGAAUACAUUGCAGAUUAGGAUUAUUCAAAAUAUGCCUUCUUGCAAUCAACGUUGUGAUCAACAGAUAUAUGGUGGCGGAUACAGUAUGUAAACAGUGGGUUCAACAGCUGUUCCAUCAGAAUAACAUUAAGCAGAGACAGUAACAGGGCAGCUCUCCUUUGGCAUGUCAGCUUAAAUAUAUAAGUGCAUGCCAAUAGAGAGUAGCCCUACCACUGUUUCUCUUAUAAAUUCAAAAAUACAUUUUUAUUCACCAAACUCUUUUUUUUUUCUCAUUUUUCUGCUUCUGUUUCAUCACAACAGAGCCUUCCAAGCUUAUAUAGAUCAUUCUUUCUCAGUUUAAGAAACGGUAUAAACCCAUGGAGAAUCAGCAUAUCCUGCCAUUUUUAUGUCUUCUUGCUUUUUCUAGGGUUAGAAAUAGGGAACUUUCUUAUCCCUUUUACCAUUUCAUUUUGUGGCUUUUCGGUUUCCAAAUACUAGUCUCACUUGAUUAGGUACUUUUUGUGACUACACGAAGUGUGUCACUUGACUCUUUUACAGCAUAUCCUUGGUCAUAUUCCUCAUUUUCCUCUUCUUUUGUCCAUAUCGACAUUUCUAUGUAGGGUCCUUUUUGCCUUUGUGUGGCUUUUCUAUUUCCUUGUGUUAGGCUAGUUAAUUUUUCAGAUCCCAAGUCUUUCAGAAGUUUGGAAACAAAAUUGAUUUAGCAAAAGUGUUGGACGAUAAAAUAAAAGUUGGAUGGUGCUUUUUGAGUUCUCUCAUAUUACUCAAAAGUGUCGUCAUUUGUUCCAGUUUGCAUAUCACGCUAACCCGAAAUAAUUAACUUUUUGUGGAAGUAAAACCUGUUUGCACCUUUCAACACAUAUGGUAUGGUAGUAAUUUAUGAAUUUGCGUGCAAAAAAAACAGUCCUUACGACUUAAGACAUUCAAGUAUAAUGAAGCUGGACAAUUGGCGUCCCAGUCUGGAUCAAUGUUACAUAAGAAUACAUUCAUAUAAUACCAUCCUAGUUUCUUGCACCAGCUAGUCUGUCCCUCAAACGUAUGCCCCAUGUACCUACAUCAUAUCUAUAUUUAUAUCAAUAUCGAUAUCAAUGUAAACUUCUAAAUUGGAAAGUUGAAUCAGCUGAAUAUCAAUUAAUAAUUGAUAAAAGCCACCUAUUUCCAGCAGUUGAUAAACAAAGUCGUCGAGUCAGACACUUCAAGAGCCAAACUAUAAAAGCCACUGUUUGGAAUAAGGGUGUUCAUUGUUUGGAAAAGCAAAUCACUACAGAGAUAUAUUAGUAUAGUAUUCUAAAACAGAGAUCUUAAGUUCAGCUAAUUGGCUACCUGAGCUACAUUGCUGAUGAGGAUUUGAUUCCCACCUUGUAAUAUGUACCGAAUUUCCCUUUCUCUACCCCUAUGUGAUAAAAUAGAUAUAGGAAAAACAAUGGACCAAAAAUUACUCAUAAAUUAAAAAUAUAGUAUUCUAAAAGGACAAAGGCGUUUUCAUCAUGAAUGGCUACCAUAUUACGUUUAUGCAGUAGUUAUGUGAGGCAAUUUGAUUGUUUAGUUUUGUAAGUUUAGAGUCAUCCUGAUCUCGACAAAUAAGUUAUCAUAUGACUAUUCACAUUAAUCAUUCACAAAAACUGUACUUUAUAUUUUCAAAAUAAUUACUUAAUUGAUACAAAGAUGUGUAUAACAUUACUCGAGAUACAAGGGCAUUGCAGGUGUCGAGAAACUACUUCAUAAAAACGAUCAACUUUGGUUUAUAUAUCACUCGGUCUAUUUCAAUUCAUAUGUCUUAGUUUUUUUAAGUCUGUUUCAAAUAGGAAGUUGCUCUAAUUGGACCCUAAACUUGGCUUCAAAUUUUAAUUUUGACCUCCAACUUUCAUAGUGCACAAACAGGCACUUUAACUAUCCAACCUUUUAAUAAAUAAACACGUGAAUCCUACUUGGCAAAACGCGUGAUGUGCACGUAUUCUGCGCGAGUUAGGAGUAAUUUUCGAGUCCCACAACAGUAAAAAAAUGUUGAAAUGACAACUCUACCCCCGGAUUCCGGCCAAUCUCUGGCAACCCAAAACCUCCGUUCAUUUUCUUCUCUUUCAGGCAAAACGCCAACAAAUACCCAGCCAUUCUCCUUCUUCCUCACACCGGAGCACAACCCAUGAAGCGAACGAGCUUCGAGCUCGCUAAACCCACCAAAUACCCGACCCCAAACCCAUCAGAUCCGCCAUCUCCGGCGAGAAUCCAAAUGACCCCCCAAACCCCAUGAAAACAGACCCAACAACCACAAACACCUAAACCAAGAAGCCAGCCAUCAACAAACCUCUAAGCUCCGUCAAACAAUGAGCUCCAAGCUCUAAAAACCAUUAGGAGGAAUUAAUUUUGAUUCUUGUAUAUAAAUUAAAAUUAAUUUUGAUUUUUUUUAGUUCUAAAAUUACGUGUAAAAUAUUUAAUUAGUUGGCAGCCAUUGAGUGGCUCACUAAUACACGUUGGAGCGUUUGCAUUUCACGCUCUUUGGCUGCAAAAAUCGUGUGUUUAUUUAUUUAAAAGAUGGAUAGUUAAAGUGUCUGUUUGUGCACUUUGAAAGUUGGAGGUCAAAGUUAAAAUUUGAAGCCAAGUUUAGGGUCCAAUAUAUGUAUUAUGCCUUUUUUUUUCCCUAAAUGACAGAGGAGUAUUAUGUAGUAAAAUGUGAUAAUAUUUUAUAACUGUCAUUUGGCGUGAGAGACUUUUGGCGCUGGUGGAAGAAACUUAAAUGGUUUUACUAGUUGUUUGUCUCUCAAAAAGAAGUCUUUUUCAAUUUUUACUUGUCUUAUUAUAUAGCAUCCAGAAUUUGACUGUAUUGAUAUAUGCUGCUGCACUUGUUCAGCUUCAACUGUCUUAAAAGUAAACUGGCACAAAUGAUGACACACUUCGAACUUUUAUUAUGAUUUAUGAGAGAACUCAACAAGCACCUUUUUCGAACUUCUAUUAUGUCUAACUGUCAGGCAAAGGAAGCAGUACUCUUCAUUUCCUGGCCUCUAAAAGAGCUGGAAUCCUAAAAAUUCCAUAACAUAAUCAAGAGUGGAAUUAGGGAAAUCGAAAAGCCAUGUGAAUAACAAAUAUCAAAAUUCAAAACCAAAUAGAAAACGUAACAUGGAAAUGUAAAAGAGAAAAGAAGAACAGAAAAAAUAAGGAAUAUGAUGAAAGGAUAUGCUGUAUUUCACUCCUUGACUGCAAAAGGCACACACUUCCAAGGCAUAAAAUCAUGCAGCAUCAACUUUCAGCAACUUUUUCUUGAUGGAAUCUGAUGAAAAUAUUUUUAAAGGAGGUGCUUUUAGGAAAUGAAAUUGUAAAGGAUAAGAAAGUUACCACAUUUUUUAACUCUAGAAAAAGCAAUCCCAUAAAGCAAGAAGAUAUCCGCAAAUCACAACUAGAACCAAAAUCACAUAGGAUAUGCUGAUUCUCUCCAAGGGUUUAUACCGUCUCUUAAACUGAGAAGGAAUGCCUAUAAAAGCAUUGAAGGCUCUGCUGUGGUGAACCAGAGAAAGAAGAAAACGAGAGUUGGUGAAUGAAAAUAUAUUCUUGAAUUUAUAAGGGAAACAGUGAUAGGGCUACUCUCUAUUGGCAUGCAAUUGUAUAUUUCAGCUGACACGCCAAAGGAGAGCUGCCCUGUUACUGUCUCUGCUUAAUCUACAUGCCCUUCGGGCACUCUUAAUACAGUGUGAUGUCUUGAAGCUAUUUUUCUACUUUCUUCAACGUCUACAUUGAUUUUCAAAUCAAAUCACAAAGCAUGAUGAAUGUUAUUACAUUCUAAUUUUCAAAUUAAAUUACAAAGCAUUAGUUAAUUAGUUAUCCAUAGUGAGUCGUUCUGUUCUCGUGUUAUUCCAAAUAUCAAGUCUUGUUUACUUUGUUGUGAACCCACCAAUAGAUUUGAAUGCGACUGUGAGAUGUAUAUAUUCAAAUAAACAUUUUCAUUUAAAGAGCAGUUAUAGCGUUAUGAAUGAUAUAACAUUCUAUUUUUUGUAUUUAAUCCUCAAAUUAUUUUUGUUAACUGAAGAUUUAUACAUAGUUCUGAUGAACUAGAAUGCAACUCGAUUGAAUAUCUCAGACAAGCUGCUUGGAUGGUUCAAAAGAUUUCCAAAGCUAAGAAAUUAACACUUUGGAAAUUCAGGUUACAGGAUGGAUGAGAUUCAGGAUUACACAUUUUCUAUCAGGAAAAUGUAUCAAAAGUUACAAAGUGACUUAUCCAAAGGUACUUCAAAAUCUUCGGAAGUUUCAAAUGUACAUUUCAAACUCAGGGAAGUAUUCUGGAAUUUGAAUUAGUUAAGUUUAUAAUAAUGUCUUCUCCAGAAGACUCUAGCCCUGUUAAUCAUGAUAUUGGG
Molecule: long non-coding RNA, 6932 nt
Filed under: Solanum tuberosum (potato)
Lineage: Eukaryota; Viridiplantae; Streptophyta; Magnoliopsida; Solanales; Solanaceae
Description: long non-coding RNA (STUB_LNC003882)
Source: RNAcentral